CAAGACGAUGGACAGACGUGAAGUUGGCUGUGUCUCAUUAAUGUAUCCUGUUUUCAGCCUAAAGACAAAGCUGUAACUCAGAAGGAACCCAAAAAGAGGAUCAAGGUCUUGCUUCAACUGAUGCAAGUGAGAGGAAACGCUGUGCCGCCUUCUGUACACACUAUUUCCUCACACUCAACUGCACAAUGUGUAACAGACGAAGACUAUGACUGACAAGAGCUCACUCCGUUCAUGCCGUUGAAACGUGCCAACGUGCUGAAACCAAUGUACAGAGUGAACUCUCUUCCUGUUUGGAGGUGGGAGAUGAGGAACACAGACACCCAUGCGCAUAGCAAUAUAUUGAAGCUGGCAAAAUGACCAAUUUUUUUUAUUUAUU
This is a long non-coding RNA of Dunckerocampus dactyliophorus (ringed pipefish), 376 nucleotides long. RefSeq lists it as uncharacterized. Lineage: Eukaryota; Metazoa; Chordata; Actinopteri; Syngnathiformes; Syngnathidae. The transcript is spliced from 3 exons. The record is from RefSeq and is a predicted model, not a curated record.